GCGAGGGUGUCGGAAUCGGCAGACGAGCUGGACUUAGGAUCCAGUGCCUUAAUCGGCGUAGGGGUUCAAAUCCCCUCCCUCGCACCA
This 87-nucleotide transfer RNA is filed under the name Bacillota bacterium. Its description in RNAcentral is "tRNA-Leu". It matches the Rfam family "tRNA". From Rfam's summary of the family: Transfer RNA (tRNA) molecules are approximately 80 nucleotides in length. Their secondary structure includes four short double-helical elements and three loops (D, anti-codon, and T loops). Further hydrogen bonds mediate the characteristic L-shaped molecular structure. tRNAs have two regions of fundamental functional importance: the anti-codon, which is responsible for specific mRNA codon recognition, and the 3' end, to which the tRNAs corresponding amino acid is attached (by aminoacyl-tRNA synthetases). tRNAs cope with the degeneracy of the genetic code in two manners: having more than one tRNA (with a specific anti-codon) for a particular amino acid; and 'wobble' base-pairing, i.e. permitting non-standard base-pairing at the 3rd anti-codon position. RNAcentral also lists the same sequence under 1 other name. Lineage: Bacteria; Bacillati; Bacillota. The record is from RNAcentral.